RNAcentral lists this non-coding RNA (77 nucleotides) under uncultured Dysosmobacter sp. RNAcentral describes it as "Cyclic di-GMP-I riboswitch". It matches the Rfam family "c-di-GMP-I riboswitch aptamer". From Rfam's summary of the family: GEMM was predicted in a large-scale screen for bacterial structured RNA regulatory elements. Genes associated with GEMM are involved in a diverse array of functions, including chemotaxis regulation, signal transduction, secretion and chitin. Lineage: Bacteria; Bacillati; Bacillota; Clostridia; Eubacteriales; Oscillospiraceae. The record is from RNAcentral.
GAAACGGCAAACCGGAGGAAACUCCGGGACGCAAAGCUAUGGGGACUACGGCUCUGCUAAGUCAGCCCGGCUGCCAA